GGGGCUGAACUGGAAUCGACAGGAAAGAUCAUUGAGUAGUAAGCAUGUCGGAGCAUGUUGGAUCACUCCGUAACAAAUGUCCUUCAACCAACUUUAAAUGGCAAGUCUAACUUCGCCAUGGCUGCCUGAUCUAACUAGAUCACAAAGCCAUUGUGCCGCAGCAUCUGAUGCCUGAUACACGAUCUGCCGCACAUCAUCAAAACUUCAGGCUGGCUAAAAUGGCGCUCUGACAUUUUAGUGAGAACUUAAGAGAUAAGGAAUUGGCAUGAGUCUGUUAUCACACUCCCCCAAUUCCCGACAAUCCCGAGCGAUAACUAAGCAUGAAGAAAGCUGCUGAAUACUUUGUCUGGACCGGGGUUCGACUCCCCGCAGCUCCACUG
This 380-nucleotide transfer-messenger RNA is filed under the name Saprospiraceae. RNAcentral describes it as "PWJY01 sp007695035 Standard tmRNA". It matches the Rfam family "transfer-messenger RNA". Rfam says of the family: Bacterial tmRNA, also known as 10Sa RNA or SsrA, is named for its dual tRNA and mRNA-like properties. Its role is to liberate the mRNA from a stalled ribosome. RNAcentral also lists the same sequence under 1 other name. Lineage: Bacteria; Pseudomonadati; Bacteroidota; Saprospiria; Saprospirales. The record is from RNAcentral.